GCUCUCCUUUAUGAGAAGGGGAAACCGAAGUGCAGAGAAGAUAAGUCAUGUUUCCACAGAACUCCAGCUAAGUCAGCCCUACUGAGGCACGGACUGGAAGGUAGGCACACCUGUUAUCGCAAGCUUCCAAACCCAUGUCUUCUACCAUGCAGCUUCCUCUCUCUGUGGAGCUUAGUGUUCACACAAUCUCUAUCUUCUUCGUACAAGACUCCACCUAGGAGACCUGGAAGCCACAAUAAAGUUUCCUUGUUCACCAUCCCUUUCUCUGAAGCUCCAGCUGGACCUCCAGUGGGAUCAGGAGCUUCUCGUUGGGCUAUCACCUGGACCAUCCCUUUCUCUGAAGCUCCAGCUGGACCUCCAGUGGGAUCAGGAACUUCUCGUUGGGCUAUCACCUGGACCAUCCCUUUCUCUGAAGCUCCAGCUGGACCUCCAGUGGGAUCAGGAGCUUCUCGUUGGACUAUCACCUGGACCAUCCCUUUCUCUGAAGCUCCAGCUGGACCUCCAGUGGGAUCAGGAGCUUCUCGUUGGACUAUCACCUGGACCAUCCCUUUCUCUGAAGCUCCAGCUGGACCUCCAGUGGGAUCAGGAGCUUCUCAUUGGACUAUCACCUGGACCACCUCACUGGCCCUGUCCUUCCACUCAUGGCAGCCACAGUGAUCUGUUAAAAUGUCAGGCAGUUCCUAUCACUUGUCUGCUUGAAACUCUCCACUGAUUUUCCAUCACACUUAAAAGGAAACCCAAAUUCCAGACUCUGAGGUGCCAGACCUUCAGGAUGUGCUCCCUGGCUUCCCGUUGACCUCAUCUGUUCCCCUUACUUUAGCCACAUGGGCCUGUUUGUGUCCUUGAACUUGGCACCAGAUCUUACUUGGGGUUCUUUUGCAUCUGCCAUUCUUUUCGCCUACAUCCCCUUGCUUCAGAUCUUCACACGUUACUCACUCCCUCAUUUCACUCAGGUCUCUGCUCCGGUGUCACACUCCGCAAGAUAUCUCCCCUGAACACCAAAAAUGAUUUCUUGUCUUUGCUUCCCAACCAACCAGAGCUGAUACUGCCCAUAGCUCCAGAGCAGGUCUUUUCGGUGCUGCAUGUUUGGGAGGCCUUAGAGACCUGGGAAAGUCUGGUAUGACCACAGCGGGAGGUGGCGGGUGGGAGAAAGGGGAAUGGAGGAUGACUUGGGGUAGCAGCUAUUUACCGUCUGGUAGAGGUGACGAAGUAUUUUCAUCAGUAUGGCUACAUCAGUACAUACAACUGCAUCGCUAGGGCCUAGAGCUGUGCCAGGCACAAGUAAGCAGUCAGCAAAUAUUUGUUUAAUUAAUUAAGUAAAAAAAGAAAAUGGACAGAAAAAGCAACAUUUCAAGGUAAGGAUGUCCAACCACGUAGCAUAAGGCAAGGGAGAAAGGCAGGGAGGCAUUCCUGGCUGUGGGGGUCGAUGUUGGAAGCUGGGGGAGCAGAGAGGGACCAGUCUCCCCUCUUCAGGGGUUGCUUCCUCUUAUAUACCUCAGGGAAGAGAGGUUGUCCUUUGGAAGGUGCUCUUCUGCUCCGUUGUGGCUGCACUGACGCUGCUGUUGAGAUGGAGCUACCCCUCCUGGGACCUGGUUCUGCUCUAUGUGGGAGGUAGGCAGCAGAGGGAAGAUGUGAGGUGGGCUCCCUGCUCUGUUCCCCACUCCACCCUCCAAGGCUGGCUUCGCCAACGUGCCACAGCAGUUAUACAGGGCCCUGUGCUCAGAAGGGCCCCACACUUGGUUUCAUGCUUUGCUGUUGCUGUCUUGAAAUUGAUUCUUGCACCGGGCCCCCUGCAUUUCCAUUUUGCACCCGGCCCUGUGCAUUAUGUAGCUGCGCACUGUGAGUGUGCCAUUCCACAAGGCAAGAAAACUGCCUGCCCACGUUAACCCCCAGCCCACAAACAAACUAAGGUUUCUCAUCAUCAGGGAAGCAGCCGAGCCCUGGGCCUGCUUGUGUAGCAAAGU
Molecule: long non-coding RNA, 1964 nt
Filed under: Callithrix jacchus (white-tufted-ear marmoset)
Lineage: Eukaryota; Metazoa; Chordata; Mammalia; Primates; Cebidae
Description: lncRNA (ENSCJAG00000085900.1)
Source: RNAcentral